This 269-nucleotide long non-coding RNA is filed under the name Brachypodium distachyon (stiff brome). Its description in RNAcentral is "long non-coding RNA (BDIS_LNC001703)". The record is from RNAcentral. Lineage: Eukaryota; Viridiplantae; Streptophyta; Magnoliopsida; Poales; Poaceae.
ACCCGUCUAUCUUCUUCCAUCACAAGGUGAGCUUUUUUGUGCAUGUUUUUUUUCAACCAAGGUGACUCACCACGGUUGUGGUCUUCGAGUACUUGUGCAGACACCCAUAAGUAUUUGAUGGUGGUUUCUCGCCCUACCUUGCUUGUCAUUAUUGUAUUUUUUUUAGGAACAGUACAAACACAGAACCUCACAACACGCGCGUACACUCAUCCCUACGAACGCACACACGCACAGACUACCCCUAUGAGCACCUUCAAAAGACUAAGCCG